This 2737-nucleotide long non-coding RNA is filed under the name Homo sapiens (human). RNAcentral's name for it is "non-protein coding lnc-LINC02203-7:4". Lineage: Eukaryota; Metazoa; Chordata; Mammalia; Primates; Hominidae. The record is from RNAcentral.
AAGAUGGCCACGGAGACAGCAGCGUGGUCAGAGUGGUAGGAGCCGGCCAUCAGCGAGAGCUGCUCCAUGCCUGGCUGCUGGGUGCUACAGCCUGUGGCCCACUGGCUUGCCUCACUGUGGUUGGUGGUGGCGGUGACAGAGACUGCAGCACGACCAAAGUGGCUUUUCUGGCUUUGCCCGCCCAGCUGCUCCAUGCCAGGAGGAGGAGGAGACACCUAGAGCCUGCGACACCACGGCUCGCCUCGCUGCGGGAGGGUGGCAUCAACGGAGACUGCAGUGCACCAGAGUGGUAGGAGAGCGGCCGCACUAGGAGGGCAGGUGGCUGCAGCCAGGGUUGGGGGUCAGGCUUACAGCAAUGGACGGGCUGCAGCAGUGGCCAGGUGGUAGGAGCCUUGUAGGGAGGGCUGGCGCAUUGGCAAUGGCUUUGCCCUGCCCAUGCCGUGGAUCUGACCCUGUACUGCCCUGCCUUGCCCUGUACCUGCCCUACUGUUACCUGGACUGUCUCGGCCCUGUCCUACUCUGGUCCCAUCCUGACCCUGUCUUGGCCCUGUGCUACCCUGUCCUUGCCCUGGUCUUGCCCUGGCACUGGCCCUGCCCUGAACCUGCCCUGGCCUGACCUUGGCUCUGGCCCUGGCUCUGGCCCUGCCCCUUGUCCUGACCCUGGUGCUGUCAUGGCACUGGCCCUGCCAAUGGUCAUGGUCCUGCUCCUGUUCUGGCCCUGACCUGGCCUUGGACAUGUCCUGGCCCUGCUUUGGCCCAUCCCUGCCCUGGCCCCACCAUAGGCCUGCCUGUUCUACCCUCUCCUGGCACUGACCUUGCCCUGUCAUGGCCUAGUGGUGCCAUUGCCCUGCCUUACCCUGUGCUGGUUGUGCCUUGGCCCUGCUUGGUGCUGGCCGCUCCCUGGACCUGCCCUGACCCUGCCUUGGCUUUUGCCCUGCCCUCACUAUGGCCUGGCCCUGACCCUAGCCCUGGUCCUGCCAUAUCCCUGGCCCUGCCCUUAUCCAGGCCCUGGCCCUGCUGCUGGCCUGGAACCUGGUCCUGUCAAGGACCUGCCCUGACUCUGCCAUGGCCCUGGCCCUGCUCUGCCUUGUUCCUGGCCCUGACCCAGACCCAGACCCUUUCCUGGCUCUGCACUGGCCUUUCCGUGGUCCUGAGCUGGCAGUGGUCUGCCCCUGGUCUUGCCAUCACCCUGCCCUGCUGUGCUCUGGAUGUGUCAUCACCCUGACCUGGCCCUACUCUGCCUUUGACCCUGCCCUGGCCUUACCUUGGCCCUCACCCUAGUCUUCACUAGGCCCUGCUCUGGAGCUGGCCCUAGCACAGACCUGGCCCUGACUCUGGCCCUGGUCUUUGUCCUGCCAUAGCCCUGGCCCUGAAGUGAACUUCGAGGUGUCCUGGCCCCGGCGUAACAUAGCUCUGCAUUGGCAUGUCCCUGCCCUGCCGCUACCAUUGCCUUGCCCUGCUCUGCCCUGUCCCAGUACUGACCUGGCCAUGCUAUUUCCCUGCCCUACCCUGCCUUGGCUGUGCCCUGGCUCGGUUCUGGCCCUGGCCCCGGCCCUGCCCUGGACAUGCUCUGACACUGCCUCAGCCUCGGCACUAGCCUGGCUCUUCUUUGGCAUCAGCUCUGCUCUCUGUGUGGACCGGCUCUUGUCCUGUCCUGCACUGGCCAUACCAUGCCCUGCCCUGCCCUGCCCGACUCAGCCCUGGCUCAGCCCUGGCCCAGCCUUGGCCUUGGCAUUGCCCCUGGUCCUGCCAUAUUUCUUGCCCUGUCCCUACCCUGGCCUUGGCCCUGACCCUUACCUUGCCCUGGCUCUGCCCUUGCCCUAACGCAGCCCCUGGCCCUGUCAUGGCCCUGCCCUGGACCUGUCCUGGCCCUGGCCCUUCCCUGCUUGAGACCUUGCCCUGGUUCUCCCCUGGCCCUGACCCUGAAAUGCCUGGCCCUACCCUGGCCUUGCACUGCUCUGGCCCUUGCCCUGACUCUGGUCCUGUCACUGGCCUAGCCCCAGCCCUGUUGCUGGUCUUACCAUGGCCCAGACCCUGCCUUGGCCCUUCCCUGACACUGUCCUGGACCCUGGCUGUGCCAAGAUCCUGCACUGACCGUGUCCUUGUUUUGCUCCUGCCCCGAACCUGGUCCUGCCCAGGCCAUGGCCAUGGCCCUGGCCCUGCCCUGGCUGUUCCCUGGCCCUGCCCUGCCUUGGCCCUAUGCUUUCCUGGCCCUGUCUUGCCUGUCCUGGCCCUGCCUUGGCCCUAGCCUGGCUUUGACCCUGCCCUGGCCCUACCUUGGCCUUCACCCUAGCCUUACCUGGCCACUCUGUUGGACCUGGCCAUAGCACAGACCUGGUUGUGGCCCUGGCCCUGCCAUGGCCCUGUCCCAGACCCUAGCCCUGCCAGGUACCUGUCCUGGCCCAGCUCUGGGCCUGGCUUUGUCCCUGGUUCUUAGAUGAACCUGGCCCUGCACCUGCCCUUGCCCUUGCCCUGGCACUGGCCUUGGACAUGUCCGUGGUCCUAACCCUGGCCCUGCCCUGGAGCUGCCACUGUCUUGGCCCUGCCCUGGCUCUGGCCCUGCCCUGGCCCUGGCCCUGCCCCGGCCCCAGCCAUAGACCUGCCCUGGUUGGUCAUGCCCUACCUUAACCCUGUGCUACCCUGGGCCUGCUCCACCCUGCCCUGGCCCUGCCCUCCCUUUGGCCCUGCCAUGACCCUGCCUUGGCCCUCACACUGGCCCUAGCACAGACCUGGUCCU